AGUGAACGCUGGCGGUAGGCCUAACACAUGCAAGUCGAACGGCAGCACAGUAAGAGCUUGCUCUUACGGGUGGCGAGUGGCGGACGGGUGAGGAAUACAUCGGAAUCUACUUUUUCGUGGGGGAUAACGUAGGGAAACUUACGCUAAUACCGCAUACGACCUACGUGUGAAAGCAGGGGAUCUUCGGACCUUGCGCGAUUGAAUGAGCCGAUGUCGGAUUAGCUAGUUGGCGGGGUAAAGGCCCACCAAGGCGACGAUCCGUAGCUGGUCUGAGAGGAUGAUCAGACACACUGGAAAUGAGACACGGUCCAGACUCCUACGGGAGGCAGCAGUGGGGAAUAUUGGACAAUGGGCGCAAGCCUGAUCCAGCCAUACCGCGUGGGUGAAGAAGGCCUUCGGGUUGUAAAGCCCUUUUGUUGGGAAAGAAAAGCAGCAGGUUAAUACCCCGCUGUUCUGACGGUACCCAAAGAAUAAGCACCGGCUAACUUCGUG
Molecule: ribosomal RNA, 492 nt
Filed under: uncultured bacterium
Lineage: Bacteria
Description: partial 16S ribosomal RNA
Rfam family: Bacterial small subunit ribosomal RNA
Source: RNAcentral